RNAcentral lists this ribosomal RNA (253 nucleotides) under uncultured bacterium. RNAcentral describes it as "partial 16S ribosomal RNA". It matches the Rfam family "Bacterial small subunit ribosomal RNA", at positions 524 to 776 of the family's 1533-position model. The record is from RNAcentral.
AACGUAGGACGCAAGCGUUAUCCGGAGUUACUGGGCGUAAAGAGCGUGUAGGCGGCCAAACAGGUCCGUUGUGAAAACUGGAGGCUUAACCUCCAGACGUCGACGGAAACCGUGUGGCUAGAGUCCGGAAGAGGAGAGUGGAAUUCCUGGUGUAGCGGUGAAAUGCGCAGAUAUCAGGAAGAACACCAAUGGCGAAGGCAGCUCUCUGGGACGGUACUGACGCUGAGACGCGAAAGCGUGGGGAGCGAACAGG